UACGUAGGCAGCAAGCGUUGUUCGGAGUUACUGGGCGUAAAGGGUGUGUAGGCGGUUCUUUUAAGUUUUGGUGUGAAAAUCUCCCGGCUCAACUGGGAGGGUGCGCCGAAUACUGAGGGACUAGAGUACGGGAGAGGAAAGUGGAAUUCCUGGUGUAGCGGUGAAAUGCGUAGAUAUCAGGAGGAACACCGGUGGUGUAGACGGCUUUCUGGACCGUAACUGACGCUGAGACACGAAAGCGUGGGUAGCAAACAGG
Molecule: ribosomal RNA, 256 nt
Filed under: uncultured bacterium
Lineage: Bacteria
Description: partial 16S ribosomal RNA
Rfam family: Bacterial small subunit ribosomal RNA
Source: RNAcentral